This 1320-nucleotide ribosomal RNA is filed under the name Escherichia coli. Its description in RNAcentral is "partial 23S ribosomal RNA". It matches the Rfam family "Bacterial large subunit ribosomal RNA", at positions 375 to 1702 of the family's 2925-position model. Lineage: Bacteria; Pseudomonadati; Pseudomonadota; Gammaproteobacteria; Enterobacterales; Enterobacteriaceae. The record is from RNAcentral.
GUACACAAAAAUGCACAUAUUGUGAGCUCGAUGAGUAGGGCGGGACACGUGGUAUCCUGUCUGAAUAUGGGGGGACCAUCCUCCAAGGCUAAAUACUCCUGACUGACCGAUAGUGAACCAGUACCGUGAGGGAAAGGCGAAAAGAACCCCGGCGAGGGGAGUGAAAAAGAACCUGAAACCGUGUACGUACAAGCAGUGGGAGCCUCUUUAUGGGGUGACUGCGUACCUUUUGUAUAAUGGGUCAGCGACUUAUAUUCUGUAGCAAGGUUAACCGAAUAGGGGAGCCGAAGGGAAACCGAGUCUUAACUGGGCGUUAAGUUGCAGGGUAUAGACCCGAAACCCGGUGAUCUAGCCAUGGGCAGGUUGAAGGUUGGGUAACACUAACUGGAGGACCGAACCGACUAAUGUUGAAAAAUUAGCGGAUGACUUGUGGCUGGGGGUGAAAGGCCAAUCAAACCGGGAGAUAGCUGGUUCUCCCCGAAAGCUAUUUAGGUAGCGCCUCGUGAAUUCAUCUCCGGGGGUAGAGCACUGUUUCGGCAAGGGGGUCAUCCCGACUUACCAACCCGAUGCAAACUGCGAAUACCGGAGAAUGUUAUCACGGGAGACACACGGCGGGUGCUAACGUCCGUCGUGAAGAGGGAAACAACCCAGACCGCCAGCUAAGGUCCCAAAGUCAUGGUUAAGUGGGAAACGAUGUGGGAAGGCCCAGACAGCCAGGAUGUUGGCUUAGAAGCAGCCAUCAUUUAAAGAAAGCGUAAUAGCUCACUGGUCGAGUCGGCCUGCGCGGAAGAUGUAACGGGGCUAAACCAUGCACCGAAGCUGCGGCAGCGACACUAUGUGUUGUUGGGUAGGGGAGCGUUCUGUAAGCCUGUGAAGGUGGCCUGUGAGGGUUGCUGGAGGUAUCAGAAGUGCGAAUGCUGACAUAAGUAACGAUAAAGCGGGUGAAAAGCCCGCUCGCCGGAAGACCAAGGGUUCCUGUCCAACGUUAAUCGGGGCAGGGUGAGUCGACCCCUAAGGCGAGGCCGAAAGGCGUAGUCGAUGGGAAACAGGUUAAUAUUCCUGUACUUGGUGUUACUGCGAAGGGGGGACGGAGAAGGCUAUGUUGGCCGGGCGACGGUUGUCCCGGUUUAAGCGUGUAGGCUGGUUUUCCAGGCAAAUCCGGAAAACCAAGGCUGAGGCGUGAUGACGAGGCACUACGGUGCUGAAGCGACAAAUGCCCUGCUUCCAGGAAAAGCCUCUAAGCAUCAGGUAACAUCAAAUCGUACCCCAAACCGACACAGGUGGUCAGGUAGAGAAUACCAAGGCGCUUGAGAGAACUCG